RNAcentral lists this ribosomal RNA (253 nucleotides) under uncultured bacterium. RNAcentral describes it as "partial 16S ribosomal RNA". It matches the Rfam family "Bacterial small subunit ribosomal RNA", at positions 524 to 776 of the family's 1533-position model. The record is from RNAcentral.
CACGGAGGGUGCAAGCGUUAUCCGGAUUCACUGGGUUUAAAGGGUGCGUAGGCGGGCAGGUAAGUCAGUGGUGAAAUCUCUGAGCUUAACUCAGAAACUGCCGUUGAUACUAUCUGUCUUGAAUACUGUGGAGGUAGGCGGAAUAUGUCAUGUAGCGGUGAAAUGCUUAGAUAUGACAUGGAACACCUAUUGCGAAGGCAGCUUGCUACACAGUAAUUGACGCUGAGGCACGAAAGCGUGGGGAUCAAACAGG